AGGUGCGAUCAUACUAGCACUAAUGCACUGGAUCCUAUUAGAACUCCGCAGUUAAGCGUGCUUAAGCAAGAAUAGUACUAGGAUUGUGACCUCUUGGGAAGUCCUCGUGUUGCAACUC
This 118-nucleotide ribosomal RNA is filed under the name Cajanus cajan (pigeon pea). The record is from RNAcentral. Lineage: Eukaryota; Viridiplantae; Streptophyta; Magnoliopsida; Fabales; Fabaceae.